GCGGCCCCGCCCACGUCAUGGCGCCUGAGGAGAACGCGGGUACCAAACUCUUGCUGCAGAGUUUCGAGCGCCGCUUCCUAGCGGCGCGCACACUGCGCUCCUUCCCCUGGCAGGUGGGCGGCGGGGCGAGCGGAGAGGCCUGCGGGGCUUGCGGAAGUCCAGGGGCAGACGGGAUGGGUCUCCCUGCUGAAACCCCCGGCGCUCCUGCCACCCCUCGGAAGGCUCGGUCACACUCUCCGAGCACAGCCAUCAUCUCCCACGGUACCACAGGCCUGGUCACAUGGGACGCUGCCCGCUACCUUGCAGAAUGGGCCAUCAAGAACCUGGCAGCCUUCACUAACAGGACUGUCCUAGAGCUUGGCAGUGGCGCCGGCCUUACAGGCCUGUCCAUCUGCAAGAUGUGCCACCCCCGGACAUACAUCUUCAGCGACUGUCACAGCCGGGUCCUCGAGCAGCUCCGAGGGAAUGUCCUUCUCAAUGGCCUCUCAUUAGAGGCAGACAUCACUGCCAACUUAGAUAGCCCCAGGGUGACAGUGGCCCAGCUGGACUGGGAUGUAGCGACGGUCCAUCAGCUCUCUGCCUUCCAGCCAGAUGUUGUCAUUACAGCAGACGUGCUGUAUUGCCCAGAAGCCAUCGUGUCCCUGGUCGGGGUCCUGCGGAGGCUGGCUGCCUGCUGGGAGCACCAGCGGGCUCCUGAGGUCUACAUGGCCUUUACCGUCCGCAACCCAGAGACGUGCCAGGUGUUCACCACCGAGCUAGGCUGGGCUGGGAUCAGAUGGGAAGCGGAAGCUCAUCAUGACCAGAAACUGUUUCCCUAUGGAGAGCACUUGGAGAUGGCAAUGCUGAACCUCACACUGUAGGACUCAUACACGACUCCAACGGGAUUGUUAGAAUCAAAUCACUCUCGUGGGAAGAAUUUUUAUAUGGGAAAGCGGAUAAAACUUUCAUUGGACUGGAAUGUUUGGAGAAUGUUAAAUUCCAAAUCAGGAACCACAAUCUGCCCUCUAAUAAGACAUCGGCUAUCUAAGCAUGUGGGUGCCCCCUUUCUGCCAGCAGUUCUGGUUCUUAAGAAAAUCACCAUAAAUCAGACAUGAAAAUUCUGGCUCCAAAAAUAGCAUUUUCUUUGUGCAAAUAAAAACGUGUGUAUCAAGUA
This 1153-nucleotide long non-coding RNA is filed under the name Homo sapiens (human). Its description in RNAcentral is "novel transcript". The record is from RNAcentral. Lineage: Eukaryota; Metazoa; Chordata; Mammalia; Primates; Hominidae.